This 465-nucleotide ribosomal RNA is filed under the name uncultured bacterium. Its description in RNAcentral is "bacterial SSU rRNA". It matches the Rfam family "Bacterial small subunit ribosomal RNA", at positions 338 to 795 of the family's 1533-position model. The record is from RNAcentral.
CCUACGGGAGGCAGCAGUGGGGAAUAUUGGACAAUGGGGGCAACCCUGAUCCAGCCAUGCCGCGUGUGUGAAGAAGGCCCUCGGGUUGUAAAGCACUUUCAGCGAGGAAGAACGCCUGUCGGUUAAUACCCGGCAGGAAAGACAUCACUCGCAGAAGAAGCACCGGCUAACUCCGUGCCAGCAGCCGCGGUAAUACGGAGGGUGCAAGCGUUAAUCGGAAUUACUGGGCGUAAAGCGCGCGUAGGUGGCUUGAUAAGCCGGUUGUGAAAGCCCCGGGCUCAACCUGGGAACGGCAUCCGGAACUGUCAGGCUAGAGUGCAGGAGAGGAAGGUAGAAUUCCCGGUGUAGCGGUGAAAUGCGUAGAGAUCGGGAGGAAUACCAGUGGCGAAGGCGGCCUUCUGGACUGACACUGACACUGAGGUGCGAAAGCGUGGGUAGCAAACAGGAUUAGAUACCCGGGUAGUC